Molecule: ribosomal RNA, 489 nt
Filed under: uncultured bacterium
Lineage: Bacteria
Description: bacterial SSU rRNA
Rfam family: Bacterial small subunit ribosomal RNA
Source: RNAcentral
AGAGUUUGAUCAUGGCUCAGGACGAACGCUGGCGGCGUGCCUAACACAUGCAAGUCGAACGAGAUCCAUGGGAGCUUGCUCCCGGAAGAUCUAGUGGCGAACGGGUGAGUAACACGUGAGAAACCUGCCCUGGAGUGGGGAAUAACUCGGGGAAACUCGAGCUAAUACCGCAUACCCUCGGAUGGUCGCAUGGCCGACCGAGGAAAGAUUUAUCGCUCUAGGAGGGUCUCGCGGCCUAUCAGCUAGUUGGUGGGGUAACGGCCUACCAAGGGCAACGACGGGUAGCUGGUCUGAGAGAACGAUCAGCCACACUGGGACUGAGACACGGCCCAGACUCCUACGGGAGGCAGCAGUGGGGAAUCUUGCGCAAUGGGCGAAAGCCUGACGCAGCAACGCCGCGUGCGGGAUGACGGCCUUCGUGGUUGUAAACCGCUUUCAGCAGGGACGAAAAUGACGGUACCUGCAGAAGAAGCCCCGGCUAACUACGUG